AAGGUAUGGUGAGGACACUUUCUAAGCAUAACAUUAAAUCUCUCCUAAUUCUCAGAGAUAGAUUCUCCAUCUAAACGAUUAAAAGUCGUAAUGUCAUUUCUAAGCUU
Molecule: small nucleolar RNA, 107 nt
Organism: Dendrobium catenatum
Lineage: Eukaryota; Viridiplantae; Streptophyta; Magnoliopsida; Asparagales; Orchidaceae
Source: RefSeq, a predicted model, not a curated record